CCGAAUCUGAAGUCCGUUUCGCCAAAUUCGAACCCAGAAUUAUUGGAAGCUGAAUUGAGGAUCAAAGGAAUUCGAAUGAAAUUUUUAUGGUCGAUCAGUAUUGCAUGGAAAUCGAGGUUAAAAGAAUUGUACCAGUGCAUCUAUCGACUUCAG
Hibiscus syriacus is the source of this 153-nucleotide long non-coding RNA. RefSeq lists it as uncharacterized. NCBI's taxonomy places the organism in Eukaryota, Viridiplantae, Streptophyta, Magnoliopsida, Malvales, Malvaceae. The record is from RefSeq and is a predicted model, not a curated record. The transcript is spliced from 3 exons.